Molecule: ribosomal RNA, 499 nt
Filed under: uncultured bacterium
Lineage: Bacteria
Description: partial 16S ribosomal RNA
Rfam family: Bacterial small subunit ribosomal RNA
Source: RNAcentral
GACGAACGCUGGCGGCGUGCCUAAUACAUGCAAGUCGAGCGAAGUUUUUCUGGUUCUUGCACUAGAAAAACUUAGCGGCGAACGGGUGAGUAACACGUAAAGAACCUGCCUCAUAGACUGGGACAACUAUUGGAAACGAUAGCUAAUACCGGAUAACAGCAUUAACUGCAUGGUUGAUGUUUAAAAGUUGGUUUUGCUAACACUAUGAGAUGGCUUUGCGGUGCAUUAGCUAGUUGGUGGGGUAAAGGCCUACCAAGGCGACGAUGCAUAGCCGACCUGAGAGGGUGAUCGGCCACACUGGGACUGAGACACGGCCCAGACUCCUACGGGAGGCAGCAGUAGGGAAUCUUCCGCAAUGGGCGAAAGCCUGACGGAGCAACGCCGCGUGAGUGAAGAAGGAUUUCGGUUCGUAAAGCUCUGUUGUUAGGGAAGAAUGAUUGUGUAGUAACUAUACACAGUAGAGACGGUACCUAAACAGAAAGCCACGGCUAACUACGUG